CUUAGCCUAGUGGUAGGAGCACUAGGGUGGUGUGACCUUCCCUCCAAGAGACAGAGUGUCUGGAAGAGUGCACCCCAGUAGAGAUGUGUGGGAGGAAAGGAUUUUUGUGAUGAAGAUAUACUGGUGAACUUCCAACUGAAGUCAAUGGAGAAUUGAUGAAGCCAAGAAGUUGUCUCUUGGCUUGGCAAAGUGGAUGUGAACAUAGCAAGCAAACUGGGGAUGGUACUGCCAGAGUCCUGGCUCCUGGUCCUCUCCCCAAACUCUAAUCCUUGCUCCUUUUGCUACGUUAGGCUACAGGGACUUCCUACAAAGGGGUCCCCUCAAGAAACACUGUCUCUCAGAUAUACUCGUGACUACAUUAACCUGUCAAUACUGGAGCAGCUGUGCCAAUUGCAGGAUCGGGGCUGUUCCUGA
Molecule: long non-coding RNA, 414 nt
Filed under: Chrysemys picta bellii (western painted turtle)
Lineage: Eukaryota; Metazoa; Chordata; Testudines; Emydidae
Description: lncRNA (ENSCPBG00000025314.1)
Source: RNAcentral